GGGUAUGAGGGUGAUCUAGCUGCAACAUCUGUCACCCCACUGAUUGCUGGGGUUGAUUUGUCUGAUCUGGAUGGAUAGGCGAGUGUCCUCUUCAUCACUGCUCCAUGUGAGGUCUAAGUCUUCCCUGAUUAGAGACGGCUGGUCUUUGGUCAAGAGUAUACUGCACUCCCCCAGAAGAACCUCCAGACAAGCUCUCGGGUCCAAAAUUGAAUGUUGAAAAACUUGGUUGAAUCUUUUCUUUCAUUUGUAAGGGUAGCACGUCUUGGUUCACUUU
Molecule: unclassified non-coding RNA, 274 nt
Organism: Erinaceus europaeus (western European hedgehog)
Lineage: Eukaryota; Metazoa; Chordata; Mammalia; Eulipotyphla; Erinaceidae
Gene: 7SK
Rfam family: 7SK RNA
About the family: 7SK was discovered as an abundant small nuclear RNA in the mid-70s but a possible function has only recently been suggested.
Source: Ensembl